CGCCAAAACCACCUCCGAAGCCCGAUCCGGAGGUCGAUGAUCCGCUUUAUCUGAUGACAUUGACCAUCCCAGAGCUUUUCUUGAGGCCUUAUCAGGUUAGAUGGGAUGCCACCGUGUUCGGGGUCGUUAAUCCAGAUUUCCCCCUCUACAUAAAGCACGAAGACCUCUCCUAAAUCGCACACGGUGGUUAAUGUCUCAGCAUAUCAGUGUUACAGUUGUGGAUUCUGUAAGUCUUUAUAUAAAAGGCUUUUAUUUACCUAAGAUAUGGCUUUCAAUUCAUAAAUAUUUAACUUUGACUUAACAUAAACAUGCAUCUCACUGAAACAUGUAUGCGAGCGGGGAAUUCUGAUAUCUAUG
This 357-nucleotide long non-coding RNA is filed under the name Glycine max (soybean). RNAcentral describes it as "long non-coding RNA (GMAX_LNC001515)". The record is from RNAcentral. Lineage: Eukaryota; Viridiplantae; Streptophyta; Magnoliopsida; Fabales; Fabaceae.